RNAcentral lists this ribosomal RNA (775 nucleotides) under uncultured bacterium. RNAcentral describes it as "bacterial SSU rRNA". It matches the Rfam family "Bacterial small subunit ribosomal RNA", at positions 1 to 792 of the family's 1533-position model. The record is from RNAcentral.
CCGCGGUACGAUUCCCUUGAGUUGAUCAUGGCUCGAAUGAACGUUGGCGGCGUGGAUUAGGCAUGCAAGUCGCGCGCGAAACGUAGCAAUACGUGGAGAGCGGCGAAAGGGAGAGUACAACACGGUUAGCUACCUUCGGGACUGGGAUAGCGGCGGGAAACUGCCGGUAAUACCAGAUGACGUCUUCGGACCAAACGUGUAAACCGGCCCGAGGAGGCGACCGUGUCCUAUCAGCUAGUUGGCGGUGUAACGGACCACCAAGGCUAAGACGGGUAUGGGGCGUGAGAGCGUGCCCCCACUCACUGGGACUGAGACACUGCCCAGACACCUACGGGUGGCUGCAGUCGAGAAUCUUCGGCAAUGGGCGCAAGCCUGACCGAGCGACGCCGCGUGCGGGAUGAAGGCCUUCGGGUUGUAAACCGCUGUCGUAGGGGAGGAAGGUCUGGUGUAGAGCCUGGCUUGACCGAUCCUAGGAGGAAGGGCCGGCUAAUCUCGUGCCAGCAGCCGCGGUAAUACGAGAGGCCCAAACGUUAUUCGGAUUUACUGGGCUUAAAGAGCUCGUAGGCGGCGCAGAAAGUAGGGUGUGAAAGCCCUCGGCUCAACCGAGGAAUUGCGCUCUAAACUACUGUGCUCGAGGAACCUAGAGGUGAGCAGAACUGAUGGUGGAGCGGUGAAAUGCGUUGAUAUCAUCAGGAAUACCGGAAGCGAGGCGGCUCACUGGGGGUUUCUGACGCUGANGAACGAAGCAGGGGAGCGACGGGAUAGAUACCCGGUU